GACGAACGCUGGCGGCGUGCCUAAUACAUGCAAGUUGAGCGCUGAAGGUUGGUACUUGUACCAACUGGAUGAGCAGCGAACGGGUGAGUAACGCGUGGGGAAUCUGCCUUUGAGCGGGGGACAACAUUUGGAAACGAAUGCUAAUACCGCAUAAAAACUUUAAACACAAGUUUUAAGAUUGAAAGAUGCAAUUGCAUCACUCAAAGAUGAUCCCGCGUUGUAUUAGCUAGUUGGUGAGGUAAAGGCUCACCAAGGCGAUGAUACAUAGCCGACCUGCGAGGGUGAUCGGCCACAUUGGGACUGGGACACGGCCCAAACUCCUACGUGAGGCAGCAGUAGGGAAUCUUCGGCUAUGGACGAAAGUCUGACCGAGCAACGCCGCGUGGGUGAAGAAGGUUUUCGGAUCGUAAAACUCUGUUGGUAGAGAAGAACGUUGGUGAGAGUGGAAAGCUCAUCAAGUGACGGUAACUACCCAGAAGGGGACGGCUAACUACGUG
This 497-nucleotide ribosomal RNA is filed under the name uncultured bacterium. Its description in RNAcentral is "partial 16S ribosomal RNA". It matches the Rfam family "Bacterial small subunit ribosomal RNA", at positions 28 to 507 of the family's 1533-position model. The record is from RNAcentral.